This 431-nucleotide ribosomal RNA is filed under the name uncultured bacterium. RNAcentral describes it as "bacterial SSU rRNA". It matches the Rfam family "Bacterial small subunit ribosomal RNA", at positions 29 to 507 of the family's 1533-position model. The record is from RNAcentral.
AACGAACGCUGGCGGCAGGCCUAACACAUGCAAGUCGAGCGAACCCUUCGGGGUUAGCGGCGGACGGGUUAGUAACGCGUGGGAAUAUGCCCAGAGGUACGGAACAACUGCUGGAAACGGCAGCUAAUACCGUAUGAGCCCUACGGGGAAAGAUUUAUCGCCUUUGGAUUAGCCCGCGUUGGAUUAGAUAGUUGGUGAGGUGACGGCUCACCAAGUCGACGAUCCACAGCUGGUUUGAGAGGAUGAUCAGCAACACUGGGACUGAGACACGGCCCAGACUCCUACGGGAGGCAGCAGUGGGAAUCUUGGACAAUGGGGGCAACCCUGAUCCAGCCAUGCCGCGUGCGUGAAGAAGGCCUUAGGGUUGUAAAGCGCUUUCACCGGUGACGAUGAUGACGGUAGCCGGAGAAGAAGCCCCGGCUAACUCCGUG